CCUACGGGAGGCAGCAGUGAGGAAUAUUGGUCAAUGGACGAGAGUCUGAACCAGCCAAGUAGCGUGAAGGAUGACUGCCCUAUGGGUUGUAAACUUCUUUUAUAUGGGAAUAAAACGUUCCACGUGUGGGAUUUUGUAUGUACCAUAUGAAUAAGGAUCGGCUAACUCCGUGCCAGCAGCCGCGGUAAUACGGAGGAUCCGAGCGUUAUCCGGAUUUAUUGGGUUUAAAGGGAGCGUAGGUGGAUUGUUAAGUCAGUUGUGAAAGUUUGCGGCUCAACCGUAAAAUUGCAGUUGAAACUGGCAGUCUUGAGUACAGUAGAGGUGGGCGGAAUUCGUGGUGUAGCGGUGAAAUGCAUAGAUAUCACGAAGAACUCCGAUUGCGAAGGCAGUUCACUGGACUGCGACUGACGCUGAGGCUCGAAAGUGUGGGUAUCAAACAGGAUUAGAUACCCCUGUAGUC
This 460-nucleotide ribosomal RNA is filed under the name uncultured bacterium. RNAcentral describes it as "partial 16S ribosomal RNA". It matches the Rfam family "Bacterial small subunit ribosomal RNA", at positions 338 to 795 of the family's 1533-position model. The record is from RNAcentral.